AUCUGGGUAGCUCAAUUGGCAGAGCAACAGUCUCCAAAACUGUAGGUUGUAGGUUCAAGUCCUACCCUGGAUGCCA
RNAcentral lists this transfer RNA (76 nucleotides) under compost metagenome. Its description in RNAcentral is "tRNA-Trp". It matches the Rfam family "tRNA". From Rfam's summary of the family: Transfer RNA (tRNA) molecules are approximately 80 nucleotides in length. The record is from RNAcentral.